Molecule: ribosomal RNA, 406 nt
Filed under: uncultured bacterium
Lineage: Bacteria
Description: partial 16S ribosomal RNA
Rfam family: Bacterial small subunit ribosomal RNA
Source: RNAcentral
AUUGAACGCUGGCGGCAGGCUUAACACAUGCAAGUCGAGCGAGCGGCGGACGGGUGAGUAAUGUCUGGGAAACUGCCUGAUGGAGGGGGAUAACUACUGGAAACGGUAGCUAAUACCGCAUACCCUCAGAUGUGCCCCGAUGGGAUUAGCUAGUUGGUGGGGUAAUGGCGCACCUAGGCGACGAUCCCUAGCUGGUCUGAGAGGAUGACCAGCCACACUGGAACUGAGACACGGUCCAUACGCCUACGAGAGGCAGCAGGUGGGAAGAUUGCACAGUGGGCGCAAGCCUGAUGCAGCCAUGCCGCGUGUGGGAAGAAGGCCUUCGGGUUGUAAAGCACUUUCAGCGAGGAGGCGUUACUCGCAGAAGAAGCACCGGCUAACUCCGUGCCAGCAGCCGCGGUAAUAC